Non-coding RNA from Gymnothorax javanicus (giant moray), 74 nucleotides. Lineage: Eukaryota; Metazoa; Chordata; Actinopteri; Anguilliformes; Muraenidae. The record is from the annotation of a GenBank genome assembly.
UGCCGGAUAGCUCACUCGGUAAAGCAUCGCGUUGCGAUGACGAUUACGUCGCGGGUUCGAUCCCCGCUUCGUAC